RNAcentral lists this RNase P RNA (402 nucleotides) under human gut metagenome. RNAcentral describes it as "Bacterial RNase P class A". It matches the Rfam family "Bacterial RNase P class A". From Rfam's summary of the family: Ribonuclease P (RNase P) is a ubiquitous endoribonuclease, found in archaea, bacteria and eukarya as well as chloroplasts and mitochondria. The record is from RNAcentral.
GGUGGUCGGAUAGCUGCGCCGCGGAAAGUAAAAUCCGAGGGUGAGGAAAGUCCGGGCUUCAAGGGAACAAGGUACCAGAUAACGUCUGGCUGGAGAAAUCCAAGGGAAAGUGCCGCAGAAAAUUACCGCCGGAGUGCAUUUCCGGUAAGGUUGAAAAGGUGAGGUAAGAGCUUACCGCGUGGACAGUAAUGGGCACGGCAAAGGUAAACCCUGCCUGAAGCAAGACCAAGUUAGGAGGGCUUCCUUUAAUCGGGAAGUUACAUGGAGAGUUCCUAAUCCGCUCCAGAGGUAGGUCGCAUUGAGCCGCUUAGCGAUAACCGGCCCAGAUGAAUAGCUAUCCUUUCCGUUUUUGCCUCCGGGUAAAACUCCGGAAAGACAGAACCCGGCUUACAGACUGCCUGU